This 402-nucleotide ribosomal RNA is filed under the name uncultured bacterium. Its description in RNAcentral is "bacterial SSU rRNA". It matches the Rfam family "Bacterial small subunit ribosomal RNA", at positions 355 to 774 of the family's 1533-position model. The record is from RNAcentral.
UGGGGAAUAUUGGACAAUGGGGGAAACCCUGAUCCAGCAAUGCCGCGUGAGUGAAGAAGGCCUUAGGGUUGUAAAGCUCUUUCGCCCGCGAAGAUAAUGACGGUAGCGGGAGAAGAAGCCCCGGCUAACUCCGUGCCAGCAGCCGCGGUAAUACGGAGGGGGCUAGCGUUGUUCGGAAUUACUGGGCGUAAAGCGUACGUAGGCGGAUGCGCAAGUUGGGGGUGAAAUCCCGGGGCUUAACCUCGGAAUUGCCCUCAAAACUGCACGUCUUGAGACCGAGAGAGGUAAGGGGAAUUCCUAGUGUAGAGGUGAAAUUCGUAGAUAUUAGGAAGAACACCAGUGGCGAAGGCGCCUUACUGACUCGGUACUGACGCUGAGGUACGGAAGCGUGGGGAGCAAACA